RNAcentral lists this ribosomal RNA (1608 nucleotides) under Salmonella enterica. Its description in RNAcentral is "partial 23S ribosomal RNA". It matches the Rfam family "Bacterial large subunit ribosomal RNA", at positions 1213 to 2802 of the family's 2925-position model. Lineage: Bacteria; Pseudomonadati; Pseudomonadota; Gammaproteobacteria; Enterobacterales; Enterobacteriaceae. The record is from RNAcentral.
GCUUAUGCGUUGUUGGGUAGGGGAGCGUUCUGUAAGCCUGUGAAGGUGUGUCGUGAGGCAUGCUGGAGGUAUCAGAAGUGCGAAUGCUGACAUAAGUAACGAUAAAGCGGGUGAAAAGCCCGCUCGCCGGAAGACCAAGGGUUCCUGUCCAACGUUAAUCGGGGCAGGGUGAGUCGACCCCUAAGGCGAGGCCGAAAGGCGUAGUCGAUGGGAAACGGGUUAAUAUUCCCGUACUUGGUGUUACUGCGAAGGGGGGACGGAGAAGGCUAUGUUGGCCGGGCGACGGUUGUCCCGGUUUAAGCGUGUAGGUGUGUGUUCCAGGUAAAUCCGGUUCACUUUAACACUGAGGCGUGAUGACGAGGCACUACGGUGCUGAAGUAACAAAUGCCCUGCUUCCAGGAAAAGCCUCUAAGCAUCAGGUAACAUCAAAUCGUACCCCAAACCGACACAGGUGGUCAGGUAGAGAAUACCAAGGCGCUUGAGAGAACUCGGGUGAAGGAACUAGGCAAAAUGGUGCCGUAACUUCGGGAGAAGGCACGCUGACACGUAGGUGAAGUGAUUUACUCACGGAGCUGAAGUCAGUCGAAGAUACCAGCUGGCUGCAACUGUUUAUUAAAAACACAGCACUGUGCAAACACGAAAGUGGACGUAUACGGUGUGACGCCUGCCCGGUGCCGGAAGGUUAAUUGAUGGGGUCAGCGCAAGCGAAGCUCCUGAUCGAAGCCCCGGUAAACGGCGGCCGUAACUAUAACGGUCCUAAGGUAGCGAAAUUCCUUGUCGGGUAAGUUCCGACCUGCACGAAUGGCGUAAUGAUGGCCAGGCUGUCUCCACCCGAGACUCAGUGAAAUUGAACUCGCUGUGAAGAUGCAGUGUACCCGCGGCAAGACGGAAAGACCCCGUGAACCUUUACUAUAGCUUGACACUGAACAUUGAGCCUUGAUGUGUAGGAUAGGUGGGAGGCUUUGAAGUGUGGACGCCAGUCUGCAUGGAGCCGACCUUGAAAUACCACCCUUUAAUGUUUGAUGUUCUAACGUGGACCCGUUACCCGGGUUGCGGACAGUGUCUGGUGGGUAGUUUGACUGGGGCGGUCUCCUCCUAAAGAGUAACGGAGGAGCACGAAGGUUGGCUAAUCCUGGUCGGACAUCAGGAGGUUAGUGCAAUGGCAUAAGCCAGCUUGACUGCGAGCGUGACGGCGCGAGCAGGUGCGAAAGCAGGUCAUAGUGAUCCGGUGGUUCUGAAUGGAAGGGCCAUCGCUCAACGGAUAAAAGGUACUCCGGGGAUAACAGGCUGAUACCGCCCAAGAGUUCAUAUCGACGGCGGUGUUUGGCACCUCGAUGUCGGCUCAUCACAUCCUGGGGCUGAAGUAGGUCCCAAGGGUAUGGCUGUUCGCCAUUUAAAGUGGUACGCGAGCUGGGUUUAGAACGUCGUGAGACAGUUCGGUCCCUAUCUGCCGUGGGCGCUGGAGAACUGAGGGGGGCUGCUCCUAGUACGAGAGGACCGGAGUGGACGCAUCACUGGUGUUCGGGUUGUCAUGCCAAUGGCACUGCCCGGUAGCUAAAUGCGGAAGAGAUAAGUGCUGAAAGCAUCUAAGCACGAAACUUGCCCCGA